AUUGAACGCUGGCGGCAUGCCUUACACAUGCAAGUCGAACGGCAGCACGGGGGCAACCCUGGUGGCGAGUGGCGAACGGGUGAGUAAUGCAUCGGAACGUGUCCUCUUGUGGGGGAUAACCAGUCGAAAGAUUGGCUAAUACCGCAUGAGAUCGAGAGAUGAAAGCGGGGGACCGCAAGGCCUCGCGCGAGAGGAGCGGCCGAUGCCGGAUUAGCAGUUGGUGGGGUAAAGCCUACCAAGGCGACGAUCCGUAGCUGGUCUGAGAGGACGACCAGCCACACUGGGACUGAGACACGGCCCACGACUCCUACGGGAGGCAGCAGUGGGGAAUUUUGGUACAAUGGGCGCAAGCCUGACGCAGCGACGCCGCGUGA
RNAcentral lists this ribosomal RNA (374 nucleotides) under uncultured bacterium. Its description in RNAcentral is "bacterial SSU rRNA". It matches the Rfam family "Bacterial small subunit ribosomal RNA", at positions 29 to 404 of the family's 1533-position model. The record is from RNAcentral.